RNAcentral lists this long non-coding RNA (10549 nucleotides) under Marmota monax (woodchuck). The record is from RNAcentral. Lineage: Eukaryota; Metazoa; Chordata; Mammalia; Rodentia; Sciuridae.
CCUUGGCCCUCCAGCUGGUGAAUAAAGAUGGUUCUGUCUCCUGCUGUAAGAUUGACUUGGUGAUUUAUCCCAAUCUCGCCAUAACAUUUUGGAGGCCCCAGCAAGAUGAUCACUGCAGUCAAGGCUGUGGCUCUCUGGCACACAAGUGUCCCAGAUCCUCUGACGCAGAGAGGCGCCCUCCCCUCUCUAGUUGUGGGAGAUCUCUGCUUUGUGAGGGUCUGGACCUCCUGUGGUGACCAACUGGAGCCCACCUAUAGAAGCUCUGAUAUAACUCACAUCUGUAAUCCAGUGGCUUUAAAGGAGGACAGAUCUGCAUAUGUUGGGAGGUACCUCGUUUAUUCUUUCCAUUUGAGUCGAUUGUAAGAUUGUAAAGCCGUGGAGGUUCCUAGCGCCUAAUUGUAAAUCUUUAGAUGUGUAUCAGGGGCUCUCCUCUGGGGGUGUGUCUAGUGCUUGAUUGUAAAGCCCAAAGGUGUACAAGUGAUCCAAAUACCUUUGGUUCACGUGUCAAACAAUUAAUAAAAUGUUAAUGUCUAUAAAAUGUCUAAUAUCCAUUGUUUCUAGGAUUUUUCUUCAUCAAGAAAGAGAUGGCUGAUGCUAUUCAAUACACUUGUCUGAUGUCUUGGUUUUAAAAAUAAGUAAAUCAGAUUUGACAUAUGUGGGAUUGCUCAUGGAUGUGUUUGUUAGAGAUAUCUAAUUGGUUUACAGAAUGAAAGCACUAACUGUUAAAUAUAACAUCAAGUACUCUUAACUCCUUCAAUUCUAUAAAUUAACGUACUUAAACAUUACUGGUGUUUUCAUAAAUUGGUAAAAAUUGCUCUGUGUCAUUACUAAAAACAUGGUUAUUAAGAGUUAAAUGUCCCAAAAGGUAUAAUUCUAUAAUUGUGUUUCAAAUAGAGUACUGUAAAUAGCAUAAAGAAUUUCUCCUGCAGGUUUCAAAUAGAGUAAUUUGUCUAAAUUCAGAAAUUUACAAGGGUUGCUUCAGAGUGUAAAUUUUAAAAAGGGGGUCAAAUGAUAGGAAAAAAGUUUAAAGAUUCUAAAUAUAAAAUUUUCUGGGUAAGAAAGUCUUCAUGUGGCAAAGUUAUAAUGCAUCUAAGUAAACAACAGAGGGUCUAAUUAAGUGACAAAACAAUCUAUAUAAAUAAAGAGUAAGUUUUAAAAGAUUUGUGUGUAACUAAGUGUUGCAAUGGGCAAAAAGUGUGAUUUAUGCAGUCAAGGGGGAGAAACAAAGAAUGUUCACACGGUUCUGCCCUUUUCAAUGCUUUAUUCACUCAAAUCACUGAUUACAAUUCCACUCUAAGGAUUCAAGAAAAUGACAAUCCUUAAUGCUAGGCACUGCGAUAGAUAUAAUCAAUUCACAGCAAACAAUUCUAGAUUAAUUCUAAGCACUGCAAACAUGCUUAAUCAUGACAGGCUCGUGACAGACAUUCCCUCUGCAUGCUAAGCUCAAGUGCCAGGUCUAAAGUCUCAAGCCUUAGGGUCCAGCAGAUGCACACACACUCAGACUUUGGUGAUCAGAUCAGGAACCAAGAUAGGCUUCUCCUGGGGUGGAGCUGACAGCUGGCUGAGGAGGUGGUCAUAGAGAGAAGUCCUUUUCUCACCAGGGUCAAGAGAGUUUGAGAGCCGUGCGAAUAACACAGAGAUCAGGCAGAUGAGAAGAGUUGGGAUGUCACUCCAGGUCCUCAUCAGGCUCUCAGACUUGUGUGCAUCAGUGUUGGCUGGCUGAAUGUCUAUUCAUUUGCUCCAUCAUUUACACUAAAUUUGGGGGCUUCUGACUACCCUUUCAAUCCCUAUCAGCUGCUACCGGAUUUCUCAGUGACGUCAUUCGUUCUGAGGUUAAAUCAUCUGGUCUCCUGGUCCACAACCUGAUUUUCUUGCUUCUCGCUCUUUAUCAGGGCAAGAGCAAUGCCAGAGACUUCACUCAGAGUUUGUCAGGGUGGGGAAAAGUGACUUGUUUGUGCCUGAGGGUCAUACUGGAGGACUCUGUAGUUGUGCCUCGUGAGGCUGCAGGUUUCAAAGUGGAGUUUUUAAAAUGGAAUUGCUUAGGCUAAGACCUAAGGCCAUCCUUACACUAAGUUGGUUAAAAAUAAGUAAUAUGAUCAGUUAAAACUAUUCAGUUUGUUCCCUAAAGUCAAAUAUUAAUGUACUAAUUAUGUACAUCCAAUAUUAAUGUAUUAAUAUAAAUCAUUUUAAUCUGUAAUUUAAAAUGACAAGGAUUUCUUAAAACAUUAAUCUACUCUUAACAUUGUGUCUAUUAAGUUUUAUUUUCUAGAACAACUAGUCUUAAGAAAUUAGGUUUGUUCAACUGGUUAAACAGCAACUGAUAUUUUAGGGUAUUGUACUAUAUUACAAAGUCUAAAUUUUUCUUUAAGAUCUAGACUUGGUUAAUAUAAAACAUAAAUAUAAUUAUGACACUAUACUCUUCUUUGCAUAUUAAAUAUGCUCAUAUCUUCCAGGUAUACAAGUCUUUAAAGAAAAAGGUUUAAAGAAGCAUUUUAUCAAGCUGGUGUUCUCCAAACUAAAGUUGUCUGUAAUGGUAGUUUAGACUUGUAAGGAUAACAAAUUUUAUUAGGGAUUUAGUUAUACCAUUAAUUGUUUUUUAACCAAACCUAAACCUUAGGUUACUUUUUACACUUGGAUAAAUGUAAAUGUAUUUCUAAAAGAAAUCGCCUAAUCAGCAAUUUAGUGAGGCCCUAAGCAACUCAGUGAGACCCUGUCUUUAAAUAAAAUAUAGAAACAGGAUAGGGAUGUGGUUCCAGGGUUGAGUGCCCCUGGAUUAAAUUCUCAGUACCAGAGAGAGAGAGAGAAACUCUCCCUUGCCUCAAAGUACUAUGUCCAUCCCCGAAUAGAUCUUUGGAGAAUCUUCCAUUGUGUGUGACACUUAAGGGUUAACAAACCCUUAAGUGUCAGUCACAAAGUCAUUCAUAACUUUUUUUUUUAAUAGGAACAUUUUUCAGGAGUUGUUAAUCUUUAAUUUACAGCAAUCAGGUUUACUACAAGAAUUUUUUCUUUUGCCAGGCAUCGUGGCACUCUCCUGUAAUCCCAGCCACUAUGGAGGCUGAGAAUCGCAAGUUCAAAGCCAGUCUCAGCAAUUUAUCGAGUUCCUAAGCAAUUAAGGGAGAUCCUGUCUCAAAUGAAAAGGACUGGGGAUGUGGCUCAGUGGUUAAGCGCCUCUGGGUUCAAUCCCUAGUACCAAUAUAAAUAAAUAAAAUGAUAAAUAAAAAGAAUUCUUUUUUUCCUAGGACUACAUGCAAACCCAGGCACACACUCUGCCUCUGAAGUUUGUCCCCAGCACCAGCAAUUAAUUUUACAAAUGAACUUCCUGUUUUAGUGUCUGCCCUUGGCUCUGGAUCCUCCCCUUGGGCCAGGGCCAGCCUCCCUAACCAGGAUUUAAAGCAUCUGUGAGCCUCAUUACCGGGACGCCAGACAUCUAUUUGCUCUCUGGAAGCCAUUUCUGCACCAACCAUGGCCACCUUCGUGGAGCUCAGCACCAAAGCCAAGAUGCCCAUUUUGGGUCUGGGCACCUGGAAGGUAAAUAUGCAAAUUUUAGGAGGCCUGCUUCCCUCCGGGGUUGUCUGAAUACUUUCUCUGUUGUCAGUUGGGACAGGGGUUUAAAGAGGUGAAAUUCAGCCCUAGAGCUGAAUUUCUCUGGGCCGAUGGAGGCUGGAAAGUUACAGACUGGCUGUUCUUGGCAGGGUGAGUGCUUCACUAGCAAGUAUCAAGUUUCCAGCACAAGUUGGACUUACUAAAAAAAGAAAGAGCCGAAGAAAGAAAGAAAAAGAGAACACGGCAGCUACUCUCAGCAGUCUUUUUCUUCUGAAACACUGCUUAGUUCUGGGACAUGGAGAGAGGGGCUCAGCAUUUCUUGGCCUUGGGUUUGGUGAUGGCUGAGUGAUUGAGAGGAUCCAGAGCUCUUUAAUAAGGGGGGCUCGGGGUGUAGUACAGUGGUAGAGCGCCCUGAGUUCAAUACCCAGUAACUUAACAAAACAAAACAACUCAGACCCAACCCAGGCUACAGAAUCAACAUUUGCUUUACUGAGAUCUCCAGUGGUUGUCAUGCUCAUUAAGCUCUGAGAAGUACUGGGAUCACAGACAGCCUCGGUCAUCACAGAGUCAGGAGCGCAGGUCCCACUCUGGCUGUGUUAUUGUCAGCAGGCAAAAUGCCAAAGGCACAUCCCAGUGCCUCAGGAAGCAGAUUCACCGGCCUCUCUUGGAAUUUUAUCAUCUUCUAACUCUGCCCCCCCCUUUUUUUUUUUUUUUUUACCAUUUCCCUCAAUGCUGACAUCACCCUAGCUAGUUUCCAAGAUCCAUCUUUGGAACCUUUCUUUCCUCAUGGCUCAUCUUGCUGAGUCAUUCCUCUGUGUGUCUCUCUUUUUUUUUUUUUUUUUUUAUACUCAGGUCGUUCUACCACCGGUCUAUAUCCCCAGCCAUUUUGACAUUUUAUUUUGAGACAAGGUCUUGCUAAGUUGCUGAGGCUAGCCUUGAACUUGUGAUCUUCCUGCCUCUGCCUCCUGGGUCACCUCCUGGCUCACUGGGAUUACAUGUGUACACCAUCACACCUGACCUCCUGAGUUACUUCAGGUCUAGUUUUCAGCCUGGCUUUGAGAGCACUGAAGUGGAAGCUAUCCAUAUUUUCUAGCAACUGGAGAUACUUCAGGACUUACCUGAAUUAUAGAGGAAUUGACUUUUAGGUAGGAUAGGGCUCCAGGUCACAAUCAUAAAAUUAAUUAAUUUUUUUUCUUUUGAAAAGUUUUCCAAAGUGUGUUUUAUUCCCUGUUAUCCCCUGGCAAAUGGGACCUAGAUUUGGAGGAAAAGUAACUGAUGGCCUUUUCUUUUUAGUCUCCUCCAAACAAAGUCAAAGAAGCCGUGAAGGUGGCCAUUGAUGCAGGAUAUCGCCACAUAGACUGUGCCUACGUCUAUCAGAAUGAGAAUGAGGUGGGAGAAGCCAUCCAAGAGAAGAUCCAAGAGAAGGUGGUGAAGCGGGAGGACCUCUUUAUUGUGAGCAAGGUACGUAUGGCCCAUUUGGUGGGAGGACUGGACUUCAACGCAGGCAGAAGUAUGUGGAUGUGGUCAGUGCCAAGAACCCGCCCAGCCUUUCCUCUAUGUCCAUGUCAACCCCAGCUCUCUUCAUGUGGGCCUUUAGUACGUCCCUCAAUACAAACAUCCGCACGAGUACUGACAUGUGAAAGAUACUGCUGUAGUCCCAUACACCUGAGUGGGGCUGGCCCCAGUGCCCUCGUCUUCCCUGUUUUCUAUCAAUGGGAUCCCUCUGCCCAGUGACGAUCAGAGGCUAAGGGUGCAAACAGUGAUGGAUCCUGACGCCAGACCUUCAGCACUGUGGUCUCAAUGGAUGUUGCACUGAGGUCCUUAGUCAGGGGGUUUUGGAAAACGGUGGGAGCAUUUUUUAUUAUCAUUUAGAGAUUUCUUUUUAUUUCAAGCCAGUAAAAACUGUGUUAUAAAGUGUACAACAAAGAAGGAAAAGGAUAAUUGUUACAUGAAGGAGUUGAAACCUGCUGGAUAAGCAAUUUGCUAAAAAAUCUGUAGUUCCAGGUCCUUGGAAAAUGCAUCUGGUGGGAUAAAUAGAUUAGCUGUAGGCAGGGCCCCAUCUGAAAGAAUUCCUUAUCAAAUCAUCAGUUGGAGCCUAAUAGAUGAAGAUACGGUAUAUAGAAAAAGGGGACAUGUGCUUGAAAUGUAAAAGCUAAUCACAAUUCCUACCCUCAGAGAGCUGAGCGCCAAGGAAGGGAAUAACACAGGUACAAAAAUAUUUAAUUAGUGGCCAAAUAUUUUAACCAAUGUCAGAAACAGAUAGAAUGUUGAGAGUGUGAAAAAAUAAAUUGGCCUGAUAUCACAGUGUCUAGGCCCGAAAUUCCAGAGACUUAGGAGGCUGAAGCAGAAGGAUCACAAAUUCAAGGCCAGCCUCAUCAGUUUAGCCAGAUCCUAUCUCAAAAUAAAGUAUAAAAAGGGCUGGGUAGCUCAGUGGUACAGCAUCCCUGGGUUCAAUCUCCACUACCAAAAAUAAAUAAAUUGCGCUCAUCUCAGGAAAUACAGCCUUGGCUGAGGACUUUGUGUGCUGGGUCACUAUCUUAACCACCAUAGUUAUAAACGACCUGUUCUCAGGAUGGAUCAUGCAAAUCACAAAGCAGGGAGAGUGAGUGUGGUACAGCCCCUCUCUCUCCAGUCCUAAGGCCUUGCUGUCUCCCCCUGCAGUUGUGGUGCACCUUCUUUGAGAGGAAGCUUGUGAAGGAAGCCUGUCGGAAGACCCUCAAGGAUCUGAAACUGGACUAUUUGGAUGUCUAUCUUAUUCAUUGGCCCCAGGGAUUUCAGGUUUGAACUAUUCCUGAGCAGAUAGAUGCCAGAAAAUAACUGUGCCAGGAUGGGGGUAUCCAGUGGACAGGAGUUCUUGUGCAGAGCAGGAAGGUGCUGGUUUGGAAGAGAGGCCUAGAUGACACGUGGCCACUGAGGUAGGCACAUGCCUAAGUUUUCUUGCGGUUGCAUCUGAGAGAGACAGUGACUUCUGGCAACUCAAAUAAGCUGCCACUGCCAUGUGGCCUUUGUCUUGAUUGUGUGCCCCCCCCCUCCCCAGGAGAACUCUUGGGAUACUCUUGCAUAACAUUAUCUCAGGGCUCAACACUCCUGUUAAUCAAAGCACACCCUGGGAGUGGCAUCUUGGAGAAAAGCCCAAGCAUGGUGAUACUGAAAGGUAGCCAUUUCUCACUAAAGAAACAGACUCUACUUCUGCCUGCUCCUGGAGGUGAGAGGGACAUGAAUUCCCAGCCUCUUCCCUCAUGGUCAGCUAGGUGAUGUGGUAUGCCAUCCAGGCUCAUAGAGGCUGUGAGGACAGAAGUGAGUUAACAUCUUCCCUAGGAAAACCAUACCUUGAGAUCCAACCAUUGUAUAUUGACCUUGAAAUUAAUGUUUACCUCCAAGUUUAUCUGGGGUCUGAUAAUAUAAAGUUAAUGUCCACGGUGAUAAUGAUGGCUUCUAGAAUAUUCUAGUGAUGGAUUGUAAAAUCAAUCCAGUAGUUUAUAAAAAUGUAAGAGUUUCGAUGCCACAAUAGAUUGAUAUGGAGUUUUUAUUGAAACUCACUAUCUACAAGUGUGUUCUCCAGCAUUUGAUAAAAAUAGUGUGCAGAUGUGGGUAUAAAAAUGGGAAUCAGAGCCAGGCACAGUGGUGCAUGCCUGUAAUCCCAGUGGCUCAAGAGGCUGAGGUGGGAAGAUCAUGAGUUCAAAGUCAGUCUCCACAAAAGUGAGAUGCUAAGCAACUCAGUAAGACCCUGUCUCUAAAUAAAAUACAAAAUAGGGCUGGGGAUGUGGCUCAGUGAUUGAGGGCCCCUGAGUACUCCAGUACCCUGCCCACCCCACCCCCGCCAAAAGAAGUAGAAAUCAGGAUCUGAAAACCUUGUUCAACAGGGCCACAUAUCCAGAUGCACAUUACAAUAAGCUUCUUGUUCUCCUUUUACAGGCUGGGAAGGACUUAUUCCCCAAAGAUGAUAAAGGCAACAACCUCAUCAGUAAAGAAACAUUCUUGGAUGCCUGGGAGGUAGGUUCUAGUUUCUUCUAAGUGUGUUGGGAGAAAAAAAAUUUCCCUCGGUCAUGGAUGAGACUCCAUGAAGGAGCCCUGCUGCGUUAUGUCUAACUCCACCACUGUUAUCCUCCAGUUUUUCUCACUCCUUCCUUAUCACCUUUGGACUCAGAAUCCAUCUGACAUGAUUUACAUUUUCAAGGCUAAAACUGUGUUCUCAAAUGAGAUUAUAGAUAUAAUGUACCCUAAUUUGGGGGAUACACGUGCUAUUCCAAAGCCAUGGGAGGAAAUUUUAAAAAGGCAUUUUGACUUGAGUUUGUAGGUGUUAGCUGAGUAACCUUGGAUCAGUUAUUUAACUCCUGAAAUAUUCAGUUUCUUAUUUUUUAAAAAUACUAUAGAUAGGUGGGUGCAGUGGCACACUCCUGUAAUCCCCGCAACUCAGGAGGUUAAGGCAGGAUGAUGGCAAGUUCAAGGCUAGCCUCAGAAAAUUAGCAAGACCCUAAGCAAUUUAGAGAGACCCUGUUGCAAAAUAAAAAAUAAAACAGAGCUUGGGAUGUGGAUCAGUGGUCAAGAGCCCCUGGGUUCAAUUCCCAGUACCAAUAAACAAAUAAAUUCCUUAAUUAAAUAAAAUAAAAAGGACUGGGGAUGUAGCUCAGUGGUAAAGCACCCCUGGGUUUAAUCUCUCUGUGUGUGUGCAACUGAUACACGUCCGCAAGAUAUGGUAAAGAUUAAGGUAGCCAACAUGCUAGGAACUUUAAUCAUGGACUCAGGACUCAGGUCUGUCUGACUAAGAAGUUCAACUGCAUUGGUCUUUAGCAGAAUGCUUGGUAAAAAGUGAACACAUAUCAUUCAAACAUAAGGGAAAAGGAGUGCCCCACUUCCUAGAUCCAAUAAUGACCUCAUUCACAUAAUUUGUGUCUAAAAUUAAAUUAAGGCAUGAAAGGUUUUCUGAAGUUUUUUUUUUUUUUGAAACGAUCAUGUGCUCUUGCAAAUGCCAGCAGAGAACAAGUGAAUGAACAAGUCAUAAAUGAAUAGUGACAAAGGGUCUCAGGGAUCAUAUUGUUCUAUCAUCUGAGUGGGACACAUUUCCUUAGUUUGUGUUGUUUUUUACCACUUAAAAUAGGUUAAAACUGUCCUAGCCUGGAAUUGAUAUGAUAAAUUAAAUGUAAAGUUUUUAUUUUAUUUUGAGACAGAGUCUCACUAAGUUUGUUCAGAAAUGUUUACCCAUGAGCACAGCUUUCUUGCUUUGAACCUCAGCAACCAGCAAUAAGAAAAUUUAGAUAGCAAAAAUGAUGUGAUAUCAGGAAAAGGAUAAUGAAGCAGGAAAAUCAUCACUUUAUAAUGACAAGGUUGGCAAUCCUGGAAAUACACUUGAAAGGAAUUAUCUUUGGCAAGCAAAUCAUUAAAUUUGCCUGCUAAUGGCAGAAAGCUUGUUACUUGGAAGUAUGGGAAGAAACUAUCUGAAUUUCUAUGGGUGGGUUUUAAAGACUGUCCUCAACCUCUCUGAGUUGUACAUGAAAAGAAAAAGAAAAAAAAAACCCAAAACUAUUGGUUGUUGCCACCUGUAGUAUUGCCAUUGGAUUUUCUCAGCAGGGAUAUGCCAUUUAUAGUUCAUUUCUGUAAGUCAAAAUGAUAAAAGAAGCAAUGCUUUAUAUAAUUAAGAGCCAUACCAAAUUAUUGAAAAUCUCAUAUCGCAGGGCUGGACAUGCCUGUUAAUAACGUGACUCAGGAGGUUGAGGAAGGAGGAUUGCAAAUUGGAAGCCAGCCUUAGCAAUUUAGUGAGGCCAUAAGCAACUUAGUGAGACUCUGUCUCAAAAUAAAAUAAAAAGGGCUGGGGAUGUUGCUCGGUGAUUAACUACUCCUGAGCUUUACCCAGUACCAAAAAACAUAUAAUAAUAUCUAAGAAGCGUGAGACUAUAUAUAGAAGUAAAUCAAAUACUUUGGGGAAAGUCUUAGGAAGAUGUCAAUUUGUCAUAAUAUCCAAACCUUCUUCUAUAAUUAAAUAUAAAUCUCUGUACCAAGUGGAAGAACACCAUGAAUGUACAAGCUGUGAGCUGGAACCCAGGGGCACUUUACUACUUAGCUACAUCCCUAGUCCUUUAUUUAUUUAUUUGUUUGUUUAUUUAUUUAUUUAUUUAUUUAUUUAUGGUACUGGGGAUUCAACCCAGGGUUGUUUAACCACUGAGCCAUAUCACCAGCCCUUUUCUGCAUUUUAUUUAGAGACAGGGUCUUGCUAAGUUGCCUAGGGCCUUGCUAAGUUGCUAAGGCUGGCUUUGAAUUUGGGAUCCUCCUAUGUCAGCUUCCUGAGCUGCUGGGGUUACAGGUAUGCGCCACCAUGCCCAGACCUUUUAUUUUUUUUACUUUUAGACAGGGUCUUGCUAAGUUGCUCAGGAUCCUGCUAAACUGCUGAGUCUGGCCUUGAACCUGCAGACCUCCUGCCUCAGCUUCUGGAGUCAUUGGGAUUAUAAGUGUUGUAUUUUUCUUUAAUGACCUUUCAAGGCAUUAUCCAACCACAUAAAUACUUGUUUGACAUAGUCACUAAAAUAUACUUAUUAAGCCUGAAACUUCAAGAAUAGAUACUAUUUUCUCUUUGCUAAUGACAAAAUUGUGGCCAUAAAAAGAAAUUUGAAUUCUAGUUAACUUAGAAAAAUAUCAACAUAUUUAUUUUCUUGCCACAAGACACAUUCUGUUUGAGGAAGUUUUCAGGUUUAAUGAUAUAAUGAACAAUAUAGUGGUUUAUGUGAAUGGGCUCAAAAUGAAAAUUUUGGCAAGACUCACAAAAUAGCCUGAGAUUUCAGCAUUCGUUUUUGCAUUAAAUUGAGUGCAUUAAUUUGAUAGGUCCACUUUGUCAUAUAUAUUCACUAAUCCUUUUCGUUGCAGGUCAUGGAGGAGCUGGUGGAUGAGGGGUUGGUGAAAACUCUUGGUGUUUCCAACUUCAACCACUUCCAGAUUGAAAAGAUCUUGAAUAAGCCUGGACUCAAAUAUAAACCAGUGACUAACCAGGUAAAUUCUAGUCAAUGAAAGGGUCCUG